AACGCACGAGACCUGCGGACCUGCGGAAGGAUCAUUAGUGGACGCCCUCACGGGCUUAUAACUAUUCCAAACCUCUGUGAACCGUGCCCUUCGGGGCUAUUUUACAAACAUGGUGUAAUGAACGUCAUAUAUCAUAACAAAACAAAACUUUUAACAACGGAUCUCU
Molecule: unclassified non-coding RNA, 166 nt
Filed under: soil metagenome
Description: partial contains 5.8S ribosomal RNA, internal transcribed spacer 2, and large subunit ribosomal RNA
Source: RNAcentral